RNAcentral lists this ribosomal RNA (786 nucleotides) under uncultured Actinomycetes bacterium. RNAcentral describes it as "bacterial SSU rRNA". It matches the Rfam family "Bacterial small subunit ribosomal RNA", at positions 65 to 829 of the family's 1533-position model. Lineage: Bacteria; Bacillati; Actinomycetota; Actinomycetes. The record is from RNAcentral.
AACGCGAAAGCCUCCUUCGGGGGGCAAGUAGAGUGGCGCACGGGUGAGUAACACGUAGGUAAUCUACCUUUGGAUUGGGAAUAACCACCGGAAACGGUGGCUAAUACCGAAUAAUGCAGCGGCACCUAAUGGUGACAGUUGUUAAAGCGGGGGAUCGCAAGACCUCGCGUCUAAAGAGGAGCCUGCGGCGGAUUAGCUAGUUGGUAAGGUAACGGCUUACCAAGGCGAUGAUCCGUAGCCGGCCUGAGAGGGCGGUCGGCCACACUGACACUGACAUACGGGUCAGACUCCUACGGGAGGCAGCAGUCGGGAAUUUUGGGCAAUGGGCGAAAGCCUGACCCAGCAACGCCGCGUGAAGGAUGAAAUCCUUCGGGAUGUAAACUUCGCAAGAACGGGAAGAAUAAGUAAGAGUUAAUAUCUCUUACGAUGACGGUACUGUUUGUAAGCUCCGGCUAACUCCGUGCCAGCAGCCGCGGUAAUACGGGGGGAGCAAGCGUUGUUCGGAUUUACUGGGCGUAAAGGGCGCGUAGGCGGCCACCGCAAGUCGACUGUGAAAUCUCCGGGCUUAACCCGGAAAGGUCAGCCGAUACUGCGGGGCUAGAGUGCAGAAGGGGCAACUGGGAUUCUCGGUGUAGCGGUGAAAUGCGUAGAUAUCGAGAGGAACACCUGCGGCGAAGGCGGGUUGCUGGGCUGACACUGACGCUGAGGCGCGAAAGCUAGGGGAGCGAACGGGAUUAGAUACCCCGGUAGUCCUAGCCUUAAACGAUGAAUGCUUGGUGUCUGGGG